CUCCAUGCAAUUUGAAAAAUAUUCAUAGGAGCAGCGACUUUUAAGUAGAUAAUGAAGAUGGAAAUUAAAAACAACAUUUCAAAUUAUGAAUGCUACUAAUUAAAGUGAGGAGUGUUAUUCUAAAGAUUCUCACUUUAUUCUGAAGAUUUUUGCUUCUUCAUUCAGGAAGGAAAAUGAGCAAUAUUAUUCACAUAUCUAGCCAAAUGGUAUGGGGUAGAGAAGACAAAAAAUAAUCUAUUCCUAACCUUUUUGAGUAUAACAAUGUUCAUUAUCAAAACUCACUGAAAUAUUAAUAUUUUUGUUAGUUUUCAAAAAUGCUCAAAUUAUUGCAGAUUAUUUUUUUUUUUUAGGGGCUAUGACAAUUUUUAAAGAGAACUUUUAAAACAAAACUACUUUUAAUGAAAUAUAUGACUGAUACGAAAGUAACAAACAUUUUACAGGAAACACAACAUGGUUUUGGGAUCCUGUGCAUUUAAUACAGCCAAAGUGUUCUUGACCAGUACUUCCCAAGUCAUUACAACAAGGAAAGAAAUCUCUCUUCCAGUUGAGCUGUUUGCUGUCUACAUUUGUGACUGUCACCAGGUCAUUGCAAGGAAUUUGUGGCCAGUUCACCUCUUUUCCCAAAGGAAGUACACAAAGCACCACAGGACUGGUUCCUGAAGAUAAGCUCAGCAGUUGUGAAGCUUCCCUCAUAGCAAAUCCAGAAGACGUCACCAAUGGGAUUAUGAUAAAGGUGGAAUGUUCAUGAAUAUCAACAAAAGCCUGAUCUUUGUUUUCUUGCCAAUUGUCUGACACAGACAGAGUUGUGAAAAGCUAAUCAGAGAACUACUCAGGAAAUUGGAAUUUCACUCAUGGACACUUUUGUGAAGAAACAGAAAAAUCUUUUAAGUUUUCUCUGGUGGAUACUUCACACCAUUAAAUGUACAACAAAUUACUUCCUCACAUCUCUUGACUACCUUCCAGCUUAACUGUGUUAAAACAGUAGAGUGCUAAAAUUGUUCUUUGGAGAUGAAGUAGCAUGGUCAUGUUUUGAAGUGCAUAAACAUGUAAUAGCAAAAGUGCUGCAUACCAACAUGAAACAAAUUACUUUUAAAAGGUAAGAUGUUAUAUCCUCUUUUCUUGUUUUUAAAUUUAAAUUUCCCAAAGGAUAACAAAAAAGGAAGUAGAGAAGUUGUCUAUUUUUCUAUAAUGUCCACUUCAAAACCUGAAAUUACAUUUCAGUGAAGUCUUCUUUCCUAAAGUAAUAUUAUCUAGAAAUUAGAUAUUUUUUGUACAAAAGUAUAAUUUUAAAAUAAAAAAUUGUUGUUUCUUGUGUUUUGAUUGGAUGUACACUAUCUGUACUUAGGGGCAUUGCUACUAUUGACUGACUAUAAAAACCGACCAAAACAGAGAAAGCAGAGAAGAGAAAACUUUUGAAGCCUUAGACCAGGAGUGUGCUUUACUUAAAUUAUAAUGAGCAGAAUAGAAGGGUAAUGGUCAGAUAGCACUACAUGGAAAAUCUAGCUUUGUUCUGCAAGCUGCAGUCUUAUGUUUUUUGCAGCCCUGUCUUGAUCUACAGAAGGACCACAGUAUAUUGGAUUUAUGAGAACAGUUCUCAAUACUUUUCUAUUUUUUUUAAAGAUUAAGGAGAUACUACUAGUAUUUGUGAUUGAUGCAAUCUCAUAAUCUCAUCUCUGGACUCACACAUCAAUGACAAAUCUUGGCAGAAAUGCAGCACUGCAAGUUUUCAUUCAGAAAAAUCAGAAAAUUAUUAAGGGGAAAAAAAAUUCUGAAAAUUUUUUUCUGGUUAGUCCAAACUUGUCACUGUAAUGAGUAAAUUAAAAAGCCACAACAAUGUGGCAGAAUUUAAAAUAGAACAUAAUACUAUUAGUUUAGAGAUAUUUGGAAAUAUUAGUAGGGCAUCAUAAAUCUUGAUAUUUUUCUCUCUUUCAUGGCUUACACUCAGAAGAGUAUUUUCCUGAACUGUUUUCAGACCAAUACAGCCAAAGGUUCAGUUGAAUGAGAAAUUUUAGUUUCCAUGUGGUCACUGGUGCCUCACAAGAAAUAACUCUAUGCUGCUGGAAUGUUUUAGAAUAAUGUUUGUUGAAAGCAAGGAUCAAAUUGGGUGUAUGGACAGUUCCCUGAGAAUACCUGUGGGAUGGAGGUUGCAAUGGAAUCACAUUGAUAAGACGUGUGUAGGAGAGGAGAUCACACUGCUGCUGCACACACUCAUUCUCUCUGCUUCACAAGCAUGCAGACAAUUUCUAAGCACAGAAAUGUUAGUUUCAGGAGCUCUGAAAGGCUUCAAUUAGCUUCAUAAGCUCUGCAGGCAACAUUUAGAAAAACAGAGGAAUUUGUCAUUUUUAUAGCCCAGCUGACUCUCGUAAACAAGGUCUACACUACCUGGUGGCUUUCUUUCCUUCUGAUCACUGGCAUUCCUUUUAGCAGACAAUGACAAAAGAGCACAUGAAAAGACUGUAUCCCAAGACCAGAAACUGUGCUCUGAGAGGGAGCAGCAGUGGACGCCGGUUGCUUAAGGAAGUUAUAUAAGAACAAGACAAAUUUGAAUGCCAUAAGUAGCUGAUAAUUACUGGUUUAAGGAUUUCAUGACUUCAGAUAUUUGUAUUUAACAGCCCCUGAGAGAUUUUGCUGGUCUUCCUGUAAAUUUGUCUGAAUCCAUUUCUACCUUUCUUCUUCGUAAUAUCCUGUGGCAAUGACUUCCACAUUUUAAUUGCAAUCAUAUUAAAGAAGUUCUUCACUUGUUUUAAACCUGCUGCUUGAAAAAUAUCACUUGACAACUUCUUGCUCUCUUUGAGAGCUAAUGAAUGAUCAUCACUCCUGAUUUUAUAAACUUUUACUGUAUCACGGCUUUUCCAAAUUGGAAGUCUUAUU
Passer domesticus (house sparrow) is the source of this 2871-nucleotide long non-coding RNA. RefSeq lists it as uncharacterized. NCBI's taxonomy places the organism in Eukaryota, Metazoa, Chordata, Aves, Passeriformes, Passeridae. The transcript is spliced from 3 exons. The record is from RefSeq and is a predicted model, not a curated record.